Molecule: ribosomal RNA, 490 nt
Filed under: uncultured bacterium
Lineage: Bacteria
Description: partial 16S ribosomal RNA
Rfam family: Bacterial small subunit ribosomal RNA
Source: RNAcentral
AUUGAACGCUGGCGGCAGGCCUAACACAUGCAAGUCGAACGGUAACAGGAAGACGCUUGCUUCUUUGCUGACGAGUGGCGGACGGGUGAGUAAUGUCUGGGAAACUGCCUGAUGGAGGGGGAUAACUACUGGAAACGGUAGCUAAUACCGCAUAACGUCGCAAGACCAAAGAGGGGGACCUUCGGGCCUCUUGCCAUCGGAUGUGCCCAGAUGGGAUUAGCUAGUAGGUGGGGUAACGGCUCACCUAGGCGACGAUCCCUAGCUGGUCUGAGAGGAUGACCAGCCACACUGGAACUGAGACACGGUCCAGACUCCGACGGGAGGCAGCAGUGGGGAAUAUUGCACAAUGGGGGAAAGCGUGAUGCAGGCAUGCCGCGUGUAUGCAGAAGGCCUUCGGGUUGUAAAGUACUUUCAGCGGGGAGGAAGGGAGGAACGUUAAUACCUUAGCUCAUUGACGGUACCCGCAGAAGAAGCACCGGCUAACUCCGUG